Molecule: ribosomal RNA, 497 nt
Filed under: uncultured bacterium
Lineage: Bacteria
Description: partial 16S ribosomal RNA
Rfam family: Bacterial small subunit ribosomal RNA
Source: RNAcentral
GAUGAACGCUGGCGGCGUGCCUAAUACAUGCAAGUCGAGCGAACGGACGAGAAGCUUGCUUUUCUGAUGUUAGCGGCGGACGGGUGAGUAACACGUGGAUAACCUACCUAUAAGACUGGGAUAACUUCGGGAAACCGGAGCUAAUACCGGAUAAUAUUUUGAACCGCAUGGUUCAAAAGUGAAAGACGGUCUUGCUGUCACUUAUAGAUGGAUCCGCGCUGCAUUAGCUAGUUGGUAAGGUAACGGCUUACCAAGGCAACGAUGCAUAGCCGACCUGAGAGGGUGAUCAGCCACACUGGAACUGAGACACGGUCCAGACUCCUACGGGAGGCAGCAGUGGGGAAUCUUCCGCAAUGGGCGAAAGCCUGACGGAGCAACGCCGCGUGAGUGAUGAAGGUCUUCGGAUCGUAAAACUCUGUUAUUAGGGAAGAACAUAUGUGUAAGUAACUGUGCACAUCUUGACGGUACCUAAUCAGAAAGCAACGGCUAACUACGUG